AAUCGAAAGGGUUGUUGAAGUAACUGCCGACUCAUUCACUCAAGCACUCAGUAGAGAUUAAAGGAGUGUAAACAUCAGACAAUUUGCUACUGUGAUUGUGUGAAUGAAGCGGGAGAUAUUUUACAUCCCUCUUUCUC
Non-coding RNA from Malus domestica (apple), 137 nucleotides. Lineage: Eukaryota; Viridiplantae; Streptophyta; Magnoliopsida; Rosales; Rosaceae. The record is from RefSeq and is marked provisional.